CUUGCCGUUUUUCGAAGGCUUAUACAGAAUAGUUUCCUGCAAACUCAAGUGGCUGGGAAGCCCAGCUGAAGGUUACUUCUACCCGAAGGCCACGUCAGCAGAAAGUGGCCAACAGGUCUUGGGCCUGAAAAAACUCAGACUGAAUUUCAGGAAUGACAUCUGAAACUGCUGGUUUCUCACAAGGAAUAAAAGCUAUCUGGGAAGCUGGAGAAGCAGCUGCUUACUGUCUGGGGCAGGGACUUGCAAAUGGGAACAGUGAAGACAGACAGCAUCUCCUUCCUCUGAAGAUUCUGUUCGGAGUAGAUAAAGUUUCAGCAUUCUCCCUGGAUGGGGCAGCUUAGCAGACCCAGAGAAAAGCACUGGGAGGAAUGAGAAAGUAGCGACUAGACAAAAAUGAAGACUCUUUAAGAAGCAUUGCUGAAGUUACAGGGGAAAAAGAUAAGACAACUGAGGUUAAGGGCCUGACUCCAGAUCACACAGCAAGGGAGGUGGCAGAAUCAAGAUUUCAACCCAGGAAACCUGCCUCACAUGCCUAUGUGAAUCACUACACCCUUCCCACAAUAAAUAAACAAAUAAGCUA
Mandrillus leucophaeus (drill) is the source of this 580-nucleotide long non-coding RNA. RefSeq lists it as uncharacterized. The record is from RefSeq and is a predicted model, not a curated record. Lineage: Eukaryota; Metazoa; Chordata; Mammalia; Primates; Cercopithecidae. The transcript is spliced from 4 exons.